UUGAACGCUGGCGGCAUGCCUUACACAUGCAAGUCGAACGGCAGCGCGGGGGCAACCCUGGUGGCGAGUGGCGAACGGGUGAGUAAUAUAUCGGAACGUACCCUGGAGUGGGGGAUAACGUAGCGAAAGUUACGCUAAUACCGCAUACGAUCUACGGAUAAAAGUGGGGGCUCGCAAGACCUCAUGCUCAUGGAGCGGCCGAUAUCUGAUUAGCUAGUUGGUGGGGUAAAGGCCUACCAAGGCGACGAUCAGUAGCUGGUCUGAGAGGACGACCAGCCACACUGGGACUGAGACACGGCCCAGACUCCUACGGGAGGCAGCAGUGGGGAAUUUUGGACAAUGGGGGCAACCCUGAUCCAGCAAUGCCGCGUGAGUGAAGAAGGCCUUCGGGUUGUAAAGCUCUUUUGUCAGGGAAGAAACGGUGAUUUCUAAUACAGAUUGCUAAUGACGGUACCUGAAGAAUAAGCACCGGCUAACUACGU
RNAcentral lists this ribosomal RNA (482 nucleotides) under uncultured bacterium. RNAcentral describes it as "bacterial SSU rRNA". It matches the Rfam family "Bacterial small subunit ribosomal RNA", at positions 30 to 506 of the family's 1533-position model. The record is from RNAcentral.